UGCGUUUCCCUUACUAAUCAUUCAAUCUUGAAGUUUCGUAUGGUUGAAAAUAUAUGUUUGUCAAUUACUAAUAUAUGUUUUCUUUUAAAUACAUUUUUUUGGUGGAUUUCUUUCAAAUACAUUAUAUAUGCAUUAUGUGGAUUUUAUGUAUUUUUAAUAAUUAAUUCUUUCUCUAUUUAAUUAGAAAAAGAUGAUACUACUUUAUUGUAAAGGAAUAAAGCAUUAGUUGCCAAAAAAGGAAAAAAAUAAUAA
This 252-nucleotide long non-coding RNA is filed under the name Capsella rubella. Its description in RNAcentral is "long non-coding RNA (CRUB_LNC003978)". Lineage: Eukaryota; Viridiplantae; Streptophyta; Magnoliopsida; Brassicales; Brassicaceae. The record is from RNAcentral.